CUGCUGCCUCCCGUAGGAGUUUGGUCCGUGUCUCAGUACCAAUGUGGGGGGUUGACCUCUCAGUCCCCCUAUGUAUCGUCGCCUUGGUGAGCCGUUACCUCACCAACUAGCUAAUACAACGCAUGUCCAUCUCUGACCACCUGAGUUUUCAACCACCGAAGAUGCCUCCGGUGAUGUUAUGGGGUAUUAGUACCAAUUUCUCGAUGUUAUCCCCCUGUCAAAGGUAGGUUACAUACGCGUUACGCACCCGUCCGCCGGUCGCCGG
RNAcentral lists this ribosomal RNA (265 nucleotides) under uncultured bacterium. RNAcentral's name for it is "partial 16S ribosomal RNA". The record is from RNAcentral.